Molecule: non-coding RNA, 626 nt
Organism: Myodes glareolus (Bank vole)
Lineage: Eukaryota; Metazoa; Chordata; Mammalia; Rodentia; Cricetidae
Source: RefSeq, a predicted model, not a curated record
UGCAAGAAGAAGAACCUUCAGCUGCUCCAGCACCACGUCUGCCUACACGCUGCCAUGCUCCUUGCCAUGAUGAUAAUGGACUGAACCCCUGAAACUCUCCACAGGGCGGCCAGUGUGGGCGAUGUGGCUUCAGUUGAGAGACUCAUCAACUUCAGUCUAUACAUAUGAACCAAUAUGACAGGAGUGGCAGUAUGGGUUGACACCAUAUAAACUUGCCUUGUAUGAAAACCAACAUGAGAUGGCAGAGUUUUUCAUACAUAAUGGUGCAGAUGAACAUUCAGUGCUUUAACCAAAUAGUGACCGAACAGCUGCAAAAAGUCAGAACAGACAAAGAAAAAGCGUGUCAGCUUCAACAAAGAAGUACAUUACAGUACUGAUCCAAUUCCUUAUUGCAGCUCUCCUAACACCCUGAUGUUCCUGCAUCUAUAACAGAGGACAAGGGCAGUACCUCCGCUAUUAAGGAGGAUAUUGAAAACUCUUUCUCCAGUUACACAAUCUCUGCAGUAAAGAAGAAGGACCAAGCAGUCCUUAGGAAAUCGGAGAUGAUCCUAAGUUCUCUGGGAGAGGCAAAGCCUGAAUACUCUGGAAAAAAUCAUGCUUCACGAGAGGAUGAGGACUCCCAUGGU